Molecule: non-coding RNA, 531 nt
Organism: Notechis scutatus (mainland tiger snake)
Lineage: Eukaryota; Metazoa; Chordata; Lepidosauria; Squamata; Elapidae
Source: RefSeq, a predicted model, not a curated record
AUUCGGCAAUUGACCACUCAGCUAGCCUACUUCAGACUCACAGUAUGAUGGACUACUUUUAUGUAUAAUGGUGACAUUAUUUUUUAUUUAUUUGCUAUCUUAAUCACUUUGUGAUUUCUUUUCCUCUAGUUGCAGACAUUUCAUAUUGCUAAAUCCUGCAGAGAAGUACAGGACUUAACAAAUGGUGUAGCACUGGCAUAUGUUCUUCAUGAAAUCGAUCCUGCCUGGUUUGACAAAACUUGGCUAAGCCGUAUUAAAAUAGAUGCUGGUGAAAGCUGGAGAAUAAAGGCUAGCAAUUUGAAGAAGAUUCUUCAAGGAAUUAUGGAUUAUUAUCAUGAGUUUUUGGCUCAGCAAAUCUCAGAAGAUCUUCUUCCUGAUUUAAACCAAAUCUCUGAACAUUCUAAUCCAGUAGAGCUUGGCAGGUUAUUGCAGCUCAUUUUAGGCUGUGCAGUCAACUGUGAAAAGAAGCAAGGAUAUCUCAUUAAAAAAAACUCUUGCUUUGUAGAACAUAUACAAGUUAUAAUGACACUA